Molecule: ribosomal RNA, 431 nt
Filed under: uncultured bacterium
Lineage: Bacteria
Description: partial 16S ribosomal RNA
Rfam family: Bacterial small subunit ribosomal RNA
Source: RNAcentral
AACGAACGCUGGCGGCAGGCCUAACACAUGCAAGUCGAACGCCCCGCACGGGGUGCGGCGGACGGGUGUGUGUCGCGUGGGGACGUACCCUUUUCUACGGAAUAGCCUCGGGAGACUGGGAGUAUUACCGUAUGUGUCCUUCGGGAGGAAGAUUUAUCGGCAAGGGAUCGGCCCGCGUUGGAUUAGGUCGUUGGUGGGGUAAUGGCCUACCAAGCCGACGAUCCAGAGCUGGUUUGCGAGGAGGAUCAGCCACACUGGGACUGCGACACGGCCCAGACUCCUACGGGAGGGAGGAGGGGGGGAUCUUAGACAAUUGGGGCAAGGCUGAGCUAGCCCAGCCGGGGGAGCGAUGAAGGCCUUAAGGAUGUAAAGCUCUUUCAGGGGGGAAGAUAAUGACGGUACCCCCAGAAGAAGCCCCGGCUAACUCCGUG